Molecule: ribosomal RNA, 468 nt
Filed under: uncultured bacterium
Lineage: Bacteria
Description: partial 16S ribosomal RNA
Rfam family: Bacterial small subunit ribosomal RNA
Source: RNAcentral
GACGAACGCUGGCGGCGUGCUUAACACAUGCAAGUCGAACGGAAAGGCCCUGCUUUUGUGGGGUGCUCGAGUGGCGAACGGGUGAGUAACACGUGAGUAACCUGCCCUUGACUUUGGGAUAACUUCAGGAAACUGGGGCUAAUACCGGAUAGGAGCUCCUGCUGCAUGGUGGGGGUUGGAAAGUUUCGGCGGUUGGGGAUGGACUCGCGGCUUAUCAGCUUGUUGGUGGGGUAGUGGCUUACCAAGGCUUUGACGGGUAGCCGGCCUGAGAGGGUGACCGGCCACAUUGGGACUGAGAUACGGCCCAGACGCCUACGGGAGGCAGCAGUGGGGAAUAUUGCACAAUGGGCGGAAGCCUGAUGCAGCAACGCCGCGUGCGUGAUGACGGCCUUCGGGUUGUAAACCGCUUUCGCCUGUGACGAAGCGUGAGUGACGGUAAUGGGUAAAGAAGCACCGGCUAACUACGUG